AUCCGCAAAGAAAAUAUUUUAUGAAAGACGUUAACAUAAAAUCGCUUCAACAGCAAUAAAAGAAGAAUAAAAGGAACAACUGCAUCUCUCUAGACAUCCCAUUUUGAGCAAGGAGAAACACGGAACACACGGAGUGUUAACCUGAUUGUGUUUCGAGUGUGUCACAAUUUUCGGAACAAUGCACUAAACUCCAACGGAGCCAACAUUCAUAAAACUGCUGCUACUCUGCUGUUGUCACCAUUCUUUCGGAUGUUCAGCUACACAUUGUAGGUCAGAUUCAUUCUUAAACAAAUUCUAAGUCGUCUGGAAGACUUAUGGAGGAUAAGAUUUUCACGAAAAAGAGAUAAUCAGCUAAAGGCUCUCGUUGCGACAAAUGACCAAUAAAAACCCAUAGGAAUCAACAAGCAAAAUGAAACUCGACAACUGACACUGGGAAUUUUUAUAUGUGUUCUUCUGUGAUUAAACCUAUUUAUUGGUAGUUUUCUUUCAAAU
Musca domestica (house fly) is the source of this 492-nucleotide long non-coding RNA. RefSeq lists it as uncharacterized. The transcript has 3 exons. The record is from RefSeq and is a predicted model, not a curated record. Lineage: Eukaryota; Metazoa; Arthropoda; Insecta; Diptera; Muscidae.